GGGGACUCCGAGUGUGAGGGCAUAUAGCCCUCGCUUUUCUGAACCGUAAGGUGGUACAGGAACAAGGACUGGGCAAGACCGGUGCCAGCCGCCGCGGUAAUACCGGCAGUCCAAGUGAUGGCCGAUAUUAUUGGGCCUAAAGCGUCCGUAGCUUGCUGUGUAAGUCCAUUGGGAAAUCGACCAGCUCAACUGGUCGGCGUCCGGUGGAAACUACACAGCUUGGGGCCGAGAGACUCAACGGGUACGUCCGGGGUAGGAGUGAAAUCCUGUAAUCCUGGACGGACCACCAAUGGGGAAACCACGUUGAGAGACCGGACCCGACAGUGAGGGACGAAAGCCAGGGUCUCGAACCGGAUUAGAUACCCGGGUAGUCCUGGCUGUAAACAAUGCUCGCUAGGUAUGUCACGCGCCAUGAGCACGUGAUGUGCCGUAGUGAAGACGAUAAGCGAGCCGCCUGGGAAGUACGUCCGCAAGGAUGAAACUUAAAGGAAUUGGCGGGGGAGCACCACAACCGGAGGAGCCUGCGGUUUAAUUGGACUCAACGCCGGACAUCUCACCGGUCCCGACAGUAGUAAUGACAGUCAGGUUGACGACUUUACUCGACGCUACUGAGA
Molecule: ribosomal RNA, 614 nt
Filed under: Haloarcula marismortui
Lineage: Archaea; Methanobacteriati; Methanobacteriota; Halobacteria; Halobacteriales; Haloarculaceae
Description: bacterial SSU rRNA
Rfam family: Archaeal small subunit ribosomal RNA
Source: RNAcentral